RNAcentral lists this unclassified non-coding RNA (205 nucleotides) under Hevea brasiliensis (rubber tree). Lineage: Eukaryota; Viridiplantae; Streptophyta; Magnoliopsida; Malpighiales; Euphorbiaceae. The record is from RNAcentral.
GAAUUUAGACAAGGCGAUUGACCACAAAGCAUUGCAUGAUACUUUCUCGGUAUUUGGGAACAUUCUAUCUUGCAAGGUGGCUACAGAUUCCUCUGGCAAGUCAAAGGGCUAUGGCUUUGUACAGUUUGACAAUGAGGAAGCUGCCCAAAUGGCUAUAGAGAAGUUAAAUGGUAUGUUAUUGAAUGAUAAGCAGGUGUAUGUUGGA